AUACGGAGGGUGCAAGCGUUAUCCGGAAUCAUUGGGUUUAAAGGGUCCGCAGGCGGAUUAAUAAGUCAGUGGUGAAAUCCUCUCGCUCAACGAGAGAACUGCCAUUGAAACUGUUAGUCUUGAAUUCGGCCGAAGUAGGCGGAAUGUGUCAUGUAGCGGUGAAAUGCAUAGAUAUGACACAGAACACCGAUAGCGAAGGCAGCUUACUAGACCUGGAUUGACGCUCAUGGACGAAAGCGUGGGGAGCGAACGGGAUUAGAAACCCCAGUAGUCC
RNAcentral lists this ribosomal RNA (274 nucleotides) under uncultured bacterium. RNAcentral's name for it is "partial 16S ribosomal RNA". It matches the Rfam family "Bacterial small subunit ribosomal RNA", at positions 523 to 796 of the family's 1533-position model. The record is from RNAcentral.